GAUAUUUCAAUCAGUGUGAGACUUGGCAGACAGGCCUGUGAUAGAAUUACAAUCGGAGUACCAUCAGAAGAGGAUGGAUUACGUCAAAUCAAUGCUGGAUUCUUGGAUGAAGGCUCCAUCGAGGGACAGACCCCAUCUCCGCAGUAAAUUUGCUGCAUCCCUCUGGCCCCUCACUGCCUUCUUUAUGCCCAGUGAAGGCUCCUUAUAUGCCACAAAGGCAUAUCAAACCUCACUCAGCAGGAUGAGUGCUCCUUCCUGGGCCUCUUUAAGAAGUGACCUUCCUUUUCCUGCCCCCGGUCUGUCAGAGGCACAGAUCUACAGCCAGUACAGAGCUUUGCUGGAAGAGAGUGGACCCUCUGCCAGAUAGUGAGCAUUAGAAUUCUUUGUCUGUGUGCACAUGGAGAGGGAGGGCAAGUGGGUAGAUGUACCUAUACAUACAGGGUUUUGAGUGCAGACAUGGAAUAUGGUUGCCACCCUUCUAAAAAAUGCACUCACAAGACAAAUUCUCUGCAGUUGUUUUAAGAAAGAUGGGGUUUUGUCUGACCACC
Mauremys reevesii (Reeves's turtle) is the source of this 548-nucleotide long non-coding RNA. RefSeq lists it as uncharacterized. The record is from RefSeq and is a predicted model, not a curated record. NCBI's taxonomy places the organism in Eukaryota, Metazoa, Chordata, Testudines, Geoemydidae. The transcript is spliced from 4 exons.